Molecule: ribosomal RNA, 253 nt
Filed under: uncultured bacterium
Lineage: Bacteria
Description: partial 16S ribosomal RNA
Rfam family: Bacterial small subunit ribosomal RNA
Source: RNAcentral
UACGAGUGCCCCAAGCGUUGUCCGGAAUCAUUGGGCGUAAAGAGCGUGUAGGCGGCCCGGUAAGUCCGCUGUGAAAGUCCAGGGCUCAACCCUGGGAUGCCGGUGGAUACUGUCGGGCUCGAGUCCGGAAGAGGAGUGUGGAAUUCCUGGUGUAGCGGUGAAAUGCGCAGAUAUCAGGAGGAACACCAAUGGCGAAGGCAGCACUCUGGGACGUGACUGACGCUGAGACGCGAAAGCGUGGGGAGCAAACAGG